Molecule: long non-coding RNA, 503 nt
Organism: Camelina sativa (false flax)
Lineage: Eukaryota; Viridiplantae; Streptophyta; Magnoliopsida; Brassicales; Brassicaceae
Source: RefSeq, a predicted model, not a curated record
UCCAUCAAAAGAAAAAAACCAAAAAGUGAAAAUGUCUAUGGGUGUUAAUGCCAAUAGUCUCAUCACUUAUGUGGGGCUUUUCUUGAUAUUGACAGCAGGAAUGUCAAAAGGACAUACUCAUCAAUGUAAAGACUACCUAAUCGUUUACAAGAAGCCUGGUCGUUGUACAGAAGCGAUGCCAUUUGGCACAUGCAAUCAUUAUUGCGCUAUCGGUGGUGUUUAUAAGUAUGGUUCAUGUUCAUCUAGACCAACGAAAUCAGGCGGCAGAGAAUCAAGAUGUGUGUGUAACGGUUGCAUAAAGGCGUAGACCCGAAAUAUCUUACAUGCAACAAUAUAUUUUAAUUUCAUUAUAAUAUAUCAUCUAUAAAUAAUAAAAAAAUUACGGUCACAUGCUUUUUUGUUGUUUAUAGCACCAAUAUAUGUGAAAAUGUACGCUCAAAAGCAGUUUACAAAUGUUAUGGUUGCAUAAAGAUAGAUAAUAUUAGGGAAAUACAUUUUGCCUU